UAAGCGUGCGCAGGCGGUUAUGUAAGACAGUUGUGAAAUCCCCGGGCUCAACCUGGGAACUGCAUCUGUGACUGCAUAGCUAGAGUACGGUAGAGGGGGAUGGAAUUCCGCGUGUAGCAGUGAAAUGCGUAGAUAUGCGGAGGAACACCGAUGGCGAAGGCAAUCCCCUGGACCUGUACUGACGCUCAUGCACGAAAGCGUGGGGAGCAAACAGGAUUAGAUACCCCUGU
This 230-nucleotide ribosomal RNA is filed under the name uncultured bacterium. Its description in RNAcentral is "partial 16S ribosomal RNA". It matches the Rfam family "Bacterial small subunit ribosomal RNA", at positions 563 to 791 of the family's 1533-position model. The record is from RNAcentral.